RNAcentral lists this ribosomal RNA (497 nucleotides) under uncultured bacterium. RNAcentral's name for it is "partial 16S ribosomal RNA". It matches the Rfam family "Bacterial small subunit ribosomal RNA", at positions 28 to 507 of the family's 1533-position model. The record is from RNAcentral.
GACGAACGCUGGCGGCGUGCCUAAUACAUGCAAGUUGAGCGCUGAAGGUUGGUACUUGUACCGACUGGAUGAGCAGCGAACGGGUGAGUAACGCGUGGGGAAUCUGCCUUUGAGCGGGGGACAACAUUUGGAAACGAAUGCUAAUACCGCAUAAAAACUUUAAACACAAGUUUUAAGUUUGAAAGAUGCAAUUGCAUCACUCAAAGAUGAUCCCGCGUUGUAUUAGCUAGUUGGUGAGGUAAAGGCUCACCAAGGCGAUGAUACAUAGCCGACCUGAGAGGGGGAUCGGCCACAUUGGGACUGAGACACGGCCCAAACUCCUACGGGAGGCAGCAGUAGGGAAUCUUCGGCAAAGGACGAAAGGCUGACCGAGCAACGCCGCGUGAGUGAAGAAGGUUUUCGGAUCGUAAAACUCUGUUGGUAGAGAAGAACGUUGGUGAGAGUGGAAAGCUCAUCAAGUGACGGUAACUACCCAGAAAGGGACGGCUAACUACGUG